AUACCAGCGGCAGACGGGUGAGUAACACGUGGGAAUCUACCUUUUGCUACGGAACAACUCUGGGAAACUGGAGCUAAUACCGUAUGUGCCCUUUGGGGGAAAGAUUUAUCGGCAAGAGAUGAGCCCGCGUCGGAUUAGCUAGUUGGUGGGGUAAAGGCCUACCAAGGCGACGAUCCGUAGCUGGUCUGAGAGGAUGAUCAGCCACACUGGGACUGAGACACGGCCCAGACUCCUACGGGAGGCAGCAGUGGGGAAUAUUGGACAAUGGGGGCAACCCUGAUCCAGCCAUGCCGCGUGAGUGAUGAAGGCCCUAGGGUUGUAAAGCUCUUUCACCGGUGAAGAUAAUGACGGUAACCGGAGAAGAAGCCCCGGCUAACUUCGUGCCAGCAGCCGCGGUAAU
This 400-nucleotide ribosomal RNA is filed under the name uncultured bacterium. Its description in RNAcentral is "bacterial SSU rRNA". It matches the Rfam family "Bacterial small subunit ribosomal RNA", at positions 89 to 524 of the family's 1533-position model. The record is from RNAcentral.